CCUACGGGAGGCAGCAGUGAGGAAUAUUGGUCAAUGGACGAGAGGCUGAACCAGCCAAGUAGCGUGAAGGAUGACUGCCCUAUGGGUUGUAAACUUCUUUUAUAUGGGAAUAAAAUGUUCCACGUGUGGGAUUUUGUAUGUACCAUAUGAAUAAGGAUCGGCUAACUCCGUGCCAGCAGCCGCGGUAAUACGGAGGAUCCGAGCGUUAUCCGGAUUUAUUGGGUUUAAAGGGAGCGUAGGCGGAUUGUUAAGUCAGUGGUUAAAGUUUGCGGCUCAACCGUCAAAGCGCCGUUGAAACUGGCAGUCUUGAGUACACUAGAGGUAGGCGGAAUGCGUGGUGUAGCGGUGAAAUGCUUAGAUAUCACGCAGAACUCCGAUUGCGAAGGCAGCUCACUGGCCUGCAACUGACACUGAGGCUCGAAAGUGUGGGUAUCAAACAGGAUUAGAUACCCUUGUAGUC
Molecule: ribosomal RNA, 460 nt
Filed under: uncultured bacterium
Lineage: Bacteria
Description: partial 16S ribosomal RNA
Rfam family: Bacterial small subunit ribosomal RNA
Source: RNAcentral